UGAAACUGCACCAUAGUCCAAUUUCUCCCUCUGCCCAAUUUUACGACCUUUCCAUCUCUUCCACAGGUGUUGGAUCCCAAGAGCACACCCUAAGAAUGUCCUGUAUACUCAUCUCUGUCUCAGAGUUGGCUUCUUGGGCAAUCCAGGCUGUAAUAUUGAUGAAAUUGUGUGGGUGUCAUGUGUUCUGUCCCAAAUAUGGGAGAGAUUUGGGGACUGACUGGGGCAGACGAUUUCAUGCAGCCCUUUCAUGCAUUCUGGAUCAUCUAUGUUUAUUUGUUCCUGCCAUUCGCGUGGCUCUAUUGUUAAGAGAAGAGAAUAUGAGAGAAGAAAAGUUAUGCUCCUUAGAGGCUUUUCCAAUUAACUGUUUGAAGAGACUUUGAAAAAAAUGCCUAAGUGUGAGAUUGCUGAAUUGAGACUGGGCGAAUUCUUGCUCGUUGCCCCUGCUUCUCUGACGCACCAGUGACAACCUCUAGAAGCUUCGAAUUAAGGAAGAUGUACCAAGAGUCUGAGAUCAUUCUUAGCAGACAAAACUUCUCAAGCUGAACAAUUUUAAAGGGUCUCAUUAGAGAAUGAGAAGAUAACUAGUGCAAGAGGAAAUUUAAAGAAUGUUCAGUUGGAUGAGCUUGUUGGAGGAGGGGGGGAAUUCCUACUAUAUUAAAGCCACAGAACUAUAGACAUUUUGGAUUUCUUUGCUUUUAAAUCUCCAGAAGGCAAAAAUCAAAACCCAGUUAUAGAUGUUACAGCCCACAAAUACUAGAAUAGUUUUCUUUUUUUCAAAAUUUAAAAAAGGAUUUGAAAAUUCAUAUGGAAAUACAAGGAACACAGAAUAAUCUAAACAGUCUCGAAAAAGAAGAGCAAAGUUGGAGGGCUUGUGCUUCUCAAUUGCAAAAUUUACUAAAAAGCACCAGUAAUCAGGCCAGUGCAGUCCUGGGAGAAGAACUAACAUAUUGACCAAUGGACCGAAAAUGAGAGUCCAGAAGUAAACCUACAGAUCUGUGGCCAGCUGAUAUAUGAUUAAAGUGCCAAGAUCAUUUAAUGGAGAAAAAAUAGACUUUUCAACAAAUGGUGCUGGUACACGCAAAGAAGUGAGGUUGGAUCUCUACCUUACACUGUAUACAAAAUUAACCAAAAAUGGAUCAAAAGCCUAAAUGUAAAAGCUAAAACAAUAAGCCUCUUAGAAGAAGACAUGGAGUCUUUGUGACCUUGGAUUUGGCAAUGGAUUUUUAGAAAAGACACUGAAAACACAAACAACAAAAGAAAAAAUAGAUAAAUUGGACUUCUCUAACACUGAAAACUUAUUUGUCAAAGUACACUAUUGAGAAAGUGAAAAGGCAACCAACAGAAUGGGAGAAAAUAUUUCCAAAUCAUAGAUUUGAUGAGAGACUUGUAUGUAGAAUACAUCAGGAAUUCUGGCAGUUCAGAACGAGGUAAGUCAGAUGUAAAAACGGGCCAAAGACAUGAGUAGACAUCCUUCUAAAGAAGAGAACUGAAAGACCAAAAACUGUAAGAAAAAAUGCUAAACAUCAUUAGCUAUCAGGGAAAUGCAAAUCAAAACCAGAAUGAGAUAUUAUGUCACACUCUCUAUAAUAAAAAAGAGACAAUAACGAGUAUCAUCGGGAUGUGGAUAAAUUGGGACCCUCAUACAUCGUAAUGUGAGGUGUUGCAGUCAUUUUGGAAAACAGUAUCUACUGGUUCCUCAAAGGGUAGAACACAGAGAUAUCAUAUACAGUAGAGCCCAGCAAUUUCACUCAUAGACACACACUCAGAAGUGAAAACAUACGUCCACACAAAAACUUGCACAUGAAAUGGUCAUAGAAACAUUACCUAAAUAAUUAAAAGGUAGAAAUAAACCAAAUGUCCAUCAACUGAUGAAUGGAUGAAUAAAAUGUGUUACGUUCAUAUAAUGGAAAGUUAUUUGGCCAUAAAAAGGAAUGAAGUACUGACAGAUGCUAUAGUAUGGAUGAACUCUGAAAACAUUAUAUUAAGAAAAGAAGAAAAGAAGCCCAUCAUAAAAGUCUGCAUAAUAUAUGAUUUCAUUUUUA
Long non-coding RNA from Mustela erminea (ermine), 2042 nucleotides. RefSeq lists it as uncharacterized. Lineage: Eukaryota; Metazoa; Chordata; Mammalia; Carnivora; Mustelidae. The record is from RefSeq and is a predicted model, not a curated record. The transcript is spliced from 3 exons.